AUCUAUGGCCAUACCACUCUGAAUGUUCCCUAUCUCAUCUGCUCUUGGAAGCUAAGCAAUACUUGAGUAGGAGAAUGAACGUCAUCACUGAAAUAAGACCAAACAAUGGUUCAAGAGGCAUAGGCA
Ribosomal RNA from Marmota marmota marmota (Alpine marmot), 126 nucleotides. Lineage: Eukaryota; Metazoa; Chordata; Mammalia; Rodentia; Sciuridae. The record is from Ensembl.